CGUUUUAAAUGGUGAAAUUUGUAGAUUGGAGGGUAACCCUAGAACCCCUUUUUUGCCCAAAUUUGUGAUUUUCAACAUCCAAUUUGGGGAUUUGCUGAUUAUAGUGCU
This 108-nucleotide microRNA precursor is filed under the name Oryza sativa Indica Group (long-grained rice). RNAcentral describes it as "osa-MIR1854". Lineage: Eukaryota; Viridiplantae; Streptophyta; Magnoliopsida; Poales; Poaceae. The record is from RNAcentral.